GCUACUUUGGCAGCAUAUAGAAUAAAAUUGAAUGUUACAGGGAACAUUAAUAUGGCUCUACACAAGAAUGACACACAAAUCUGUGAAGCAUUCCAUAAUUUU
Molecule: small nuclear RNA, 102 nt
Organism: Perognathus longimembris pacificus (Pacific pocket mouse)
Lineage: Eukaryota; Metazoa; Chordata; Mammalia; Rodentia; Heteromyidae
Source: RefSeq, a predicted model, not a curated record